AGACUCUCGGCAACGGAUAUCUCGGCUCUCGCAUCGAUGAAGAACGUAGCGAAAUGCGAUACUUGGUGUGAAUUGCAGAAUCCCGUGAACCAUCGAGUCUUUGAACGCAAGUUGCGCCCGAAGCCAUUAGGCUGAGGGCACGCCUGCCUGGGUGUUGCACA
Molecule: ribosomal RNA, 161 nt
Filed under: Adenocarpus cincinnatus
Lineage: Eukaryota; Viridiplantae; Streptophyta; Magnoliopsida; Fabales; Fabaceae
Description: 5.8S ribosomal RNA
Rfam family: 5.8S ribosomal RNA
About the family: 5.8S ribosomal RNA (5.8S rRNA) is a component of the large subunit of the eukaryotic ribosome. It is transcribed by RNA polymerase I as part of the 45S precursor that also contains 18S and 28S rRNA. Functionally, it is thought that 5.8S rRNA may be involved in ribosome translocation.
Source: RNAcentral